UCGCAGCCCGGCUUGAGCGGAAAUCCUUUUUGUGGAGCAAAGCGGAACAAAAAGAUUGGGAGCGGAAGACGGAUUAAGC
Molecule: unclassified non-coding RNA, 79 nt
Filed under: Epilithonimonas hungarica
Lineage: Bacteria; Pseudomonadati; Bacteroidota; Flavobacteriia; Flavobacteriales; Weeksellaceae
Description: Chryseobacterium hungaricum Flavo-1 RNA
Source: RNAcentral